UAGGGAAUUUUCGUCAAUGGGGGAAGCCCUGAACGAGCAAUGCCGCGUGUGUGAAGAAGGUCUUCGGAUCGUAAAGCACUGUUGUAAGUGAAGAAUGCCAUAUAGAGGAAAUGCUAUGUGGGUGACGGUAGCUUACCAGAAAGCCACGGCUAACUACGUGCCAGCAGCCGCGGUAAUACGUAGGUGGCAAGCGUUAUCCGGAAUCAUUGGGCGUAAAGGGUGCGUAGGUGGCACGAUAAGUCUGAAGUAAAAGGCAACAGCUCAACUGUUGUAUGCUUUGGAAACUGUCGAGCUAGAGUGCAGAAGAGGGCGAUGGAAUUCCAUGUGUAACGGUAAAAUGCGUAGAUAUAUGGAGGAACACCAGUGGCGAAGGCGGUCGCCUGGUCUGUAACUGACACUGAUACACGAAAGCGUGGGGGAGCAAACAGGAUUAGAUACC
RNAcentral lists this ribosomal RNA (439 nucleotides) under uncultured bacterium. Its description in RNAcentral is "bacterial SSU rRNA". It matches the Rfam family "Bacterial small subunit ribosomal RNA", at positions 355 to 786 of the family's 1533-position model. The record is from RNAcentral.